AAUUUUAAACUUAUUUAUUUUGGGGUUAUAAUUUAUUGGGUAAAAUAUUAUUUUGUUUUUUAUUUUUAAGAUAGAGGAUUGUUUUAAUUAAAGUUUAAAGUAUCGUGAGAGAAUGUUAUUAAUUUAUUAAAAGAAGAUUUUAUUUGUUGUACCUUGUGUGUCAGGGUUUGUUAAAAUUACAGUGUUUAUUUAUACUUUCCCGAAUUCAGAAGAGCUAAUUAUCUAAGGUUUUACUGUGGAAUAAUUAUUUUUAAUAGUUAAUUAGAAAUGAAACGUUAUUCGUUUCUGGAUAUAUCUGGUUUUCGAAGAAGAUAAUUUAAUUAUAUUUAAAUUUUGAAUUUUUCAAUUUUUGAUUUUUUUUAUGUUUAAGUUUAUAUUUAGGGGGAUAAGCUCCUAUUUGUUAUUUUAAAAGUUUAUUUUUAGUUUAAGGCUUUAUAGGAUUAAUAAUGUUCAUUUUUAGUUUUUAAAAAUAACGUCUUAUUUUUUAUUAUUUUUUUUUACUUUAAAUUGUUUAUUUGAAUUUUUUCUUUAAUUUUUAUGAUAAGUAAUUAUGAUUGAAUUAUUAUAUGAUUUUUUAUUUUUAAUUUUUGUUUAGAGGUUAUUAUAAGGAAUUCGGCAAAUAUUUUUUCACCUGUUUAUUAAAAACAUGUCUUUUUGUUUAAAAUUUAAAGUCUAACCUGCCCACUGAUUAAUUUAAUGGCCGCGGUAUAUUGACCGUGCAAAGGUAGCAUAAUCAUUAGUUUUUUGAUUGAGGACUGGAAUGAAUGGUUGGAUGAGAAAAAUACUGUCUCUUAAUAAAUUUUAUAAUUUUAUUUUUGAGUUAAAAAGCUUAAAUUUUUUAAAAAGACGAGAAGACCCUAUAGAGUUUAAUGUUCAAUUUUUUUUAACUUUUUGGUUUUGUUUAUGUUAUGAUUAAUUGUUUAUUUGGUUGGGGUGACUCUAGUAAUGAAUUUAACUUCUUGAUUAUUUAACCAUUGAUGGAUGAAUUUUUGAUCCUUAAUUAUUGGAUUAUUAGAUUAAAUUACCUUAGGGAUAACAGCGUAAUUUUUCUUUAGAGUUCUUAUUGAGAGAAAAGAUUGCGACCUCGAUGUUGAAUUAAAGUUUAUUUUGGGUGCAAAAGCUUGAUUGAUUAAGUCUGUUCGACUUUUAAAACUUUACAUGAUUUGAGUUUAAACCGGCGUGAGCCAGGUUGGUUUCUAUCUUUUAUAAGUUGGAUUGUUCUAGUACGAAAGGACCGGACUUUUAAAUUUCAUUUUUAUUUUUGAAU
Molecule: ribosomal RNA, 1267 nt
Filed under: Tomoxia bucephala
Lineage: Eukaryota; Metazoa; Arthropoda; Insecta; Coleoptera; Mordellidae
Description: 16S ribosomal RNA
Rfam family: Archaeal large subunit ribosomal RNA (bases 1032-1191)
Source: RNAcentral